RNAcentral lists this transfer RNA (72 nucleotides) under Beauveria bassiana. RNAcentral describes it as "tRNA-Thr". It matches the Rfam family "tRNA". From Rfam's summary of the family: Transfer RNA (tRNA) molecules are approximately 80 nucleotides in length. Their secondary structure includes four short double-helical elements and three loops (D, anti-codon, and T loops). Further hydrogen bonds mediate the characteristic L-shaped molecular structure. tRNAs have two regions of fundamental functional importance: the anti-codon, which is responsible for specific mRNA codon recognition, and the 3' end, to which the tRNAs corresponding amino acid is attached (by aminoacyl-tRNA synthetases). tRNAs cope with the degeneracy of the genetic code in two manners: having more than one tRNA (with a specific anti-codon) for a particular amino acid; and 'wobble' base-pairing, i.e. permitting non-standard base-pairing at the 3rd anti-codon position. RNAcentral also lists the same sequence under 1 other name. Lineage: Eukaryota; Fungi; Ascomycota; Sordariomycetes; Hypocreales; Cordycipitaceae. The record is from RNAcentral.
GGUCUAGUGGUCUAGUGGUAUGAUUCUCGCUUUGGGUGCGAGAGGCCCCGGGUUCGAAUCCCGGCUGGACCC